This 324-nucleotide ribosomal RNA is filed under the name Triticum aestivum (bread wheat). RNAcentral's name for it is "partial small subunit ribosomal RNA". Lineage: Eukaryota; Viridiplantae; Streptophyta; Magnoliopsida; Poales; Poaceae. The record is from RNAcentral.
AUGGCUUCAGGAUUAUGUGAAUUGAUGUGGUUGGGGAUACUAUUAUCUGAACUUAGGCUGUUUGAUGGAGGACCACUGCAACUCUUUUGUGAUAACCAGGCUGCAAUCAAGUUAAUACACAAUCCAGUCCAGCAUGAUAGAACUAAACACAUCGAAAUUGAUAGACAUUUCAUAAAAGAAAAGUUAGACGAGGGACUUCUCCAAGUUGGCUUUGUUAGAUCUGAAAAUCAACUUGCAGAUGUAUUAACAAAGGGUGUUAGUGUUGUAUCUUUUGAAAAAUUAUGUAGCAAGAUGGGGCUCAUAAAUAUAUUUGCCCCAUCUUGA